AGAGUUUGAUCCUGGCUCAGAGUGAACGCUGGCGGCGUGCCUAACACAUGCAAGUCGAACGAUGAUGGAGAGCUUGCUCUCCUGAUUAGUGGCGCACGGGUGAGUAACGCAUAGGUAAUGUGCCCCUUAGUCUGGGAUAGCCACUGGAAACGGUGAUUAAUACUAGAUACUCCUUCUUACUGUAAGGUAAGUCGGGAAAGUUUUUCGCUAAGGGAUCAGCCUAUGUCCUAUCAGGUAGUUGGUGAGGUAACGGCUCACCAAGCUAAUGACGGGUAUCUGGUUUGAGAGGAUGAUCAGACACACUGGAACUGAGACACGGUCCAGACUCCUACGGGAGGCAGCAGUGAGGAAUAUUGCACAAUGGAGGAAACUCUGAUGCAGCAACGCCGCGUGGAGGAUGACGCAUUUCGGUGUGUAAACUCCUUUUAAGAGGGAAGAUUAUGACGGUACCUCU
RNAcentral lists this ribosomal RNA (454 nucleotides) under uncultured bacterium. RNAcentral's name for it is "bacterial SSU rRNA". It matches the Rfam family "Bacterial small subunit ribosomal RNA", at positions 8 to 482 of the family's 1533-position model. The record is from RNAcentral.